CGGGGUGAGUAACACGUGGAUAAUCUGCCCUGCACGGGGGGACAACAGCUAGAAAUGGCUGCUAAUACCGCAUAAGCCUACAGCCUCGCAUGAGGGAGUAGGAAAAGAAAUUCGGUGCAGGAUGAGUCCGCGUCUGAUUAGCUAGUUGGAGGGGUAAAAGCCCACCAAGGCAACGAUCAGUAGCCGGCCUGAGAGGGCGACCGGCCACAUUGGGACUGAGACACGGCCCAAACUCCUACGGAAGGCAGCAG
This 251-nucleotide ribosomal RNA is filed under the name uncultured bacterium. Its description in RNAcentral is "partial 16S ribosomal RNA". It matches the Rfam family "Bacterial small subunit ribosomal RNA", at positions 100 to 354 of the family's 1533-position model. The record is from RNAcentral.